This 497-nucleotide ribosomal RNA is filed under the name uncultured bacterium. Its description in RNAcentral is "partial 16S ribosomal RNA". It matches the Rfam family "Bacterial small subunit ribosomal RNA", at positions 28 to 507 of the family's 1533-position model. The record is from RNAcentral.
GAUGAACGCUGGCGGCGUGCCUAAUACAUGCAAGUCGAGCGAACGGACGAGAAGCUUGCUUUUCUGAUGUUAGCGGCGGACGGGUGAGUAACACGUGGAUAACCUACCUAUAAGACUGGGAUAACUUCGGGAAACCGGAGCUAAUACCGGAUAAUAUUUUGAACCGCAUGGUUCAAAAGUGAAAGACGGUCUUGCUGUCACUUAUAGAUGGAUCCGCGCUGCAUUAGCUAGUUGGUAAGGUAACGGCUUACCAAGGCAACGAUGCAUAGCCGACCUGAGAGGGGGAUCGGCCACACUGGAACUGAGACAGGGUCCAGACUCCGACGGGAGGCAGCAGUAGGGAAUCUUCCGCAAGGGGCGAAAGCCUGACGGAGCAACGCGGCGUGAGUGAUGAAGGUCUUCGGAUCGGAAAACUCUGUUAUUAGGGAAGAACAUAUGUGUAAGUAACUGUGCACAUCUUGACGGUACCUAAUCAGAAAGCCACGGCUAACUACGUG